Long non-coding RNA from Vanessa tameamea, 393 nucleotides. RefSeq lists it as uncharacterized. The transcript has 3 exons. The record is from RefSeq and is a predicted model, not a curated record. NCBI's taxonomy places the organism in Eukaryota, Metazoa, Arthropoda, Insecta, Lepidoptera, Nymphalidae.
AGACCUUAAAUCCAAAAUAUUACAAACAAGGUUUUUAGCAAAAACAAAAUUGUUAAACUAAAAAUGAAAUUCUUUAUGAUAUUAACUAUUUUCUUGGCAUAUUUUGUCUACAACGGAUUAUGCAAUGUUUCUCCCCUUCGUUCACAACCUAUCAAUUAUGAUGCUCAAAACGGUAGAAAUCGUGGUGGUUCAACCACAGUAGACGUGAAUCCGUUUAAUAGUGCUGUAUCUUCAAGCAGCUCGAACCCAACUACCCGACAAACGGUCGAUGAAAGUCGUUAAUCGUCGCCGUUUAUAUGGUUUUGGUUUGGUAAUCUAUUUAAUAUUUUCCUAUAAUAUAAAAAAAAAUUAAUCUUCAGUGAUAAUUUAAUUUUGAAAAUAACAUACUUUUUU